AAAGAUACACAACUGCGAGCUUCGAUUAAUCCUUCUGAGCGUUUGUCAGUAACUUUACGCUUUCUUGCAACAGGCUAAUAAACAAGACGAUGAAAAUUGGUGGUUGACAUUUACUAUGUUUUAAAAUUUUAGCUAUAAUAUUCAAACAAAAUGUUUUCUUGCAUAUUAAACACGCCAUUUCAAUACUUUUAUGAAAUAUAUUAUAAAAUG
Xenia sp. Carnegie-2017 is the source of this 210-nucleotide long non-coding RNA. RefSeq lists it as uncharacterized. The transcript has 2 exons. The record is from RefSeq and is a predicted model, not a curated record. NCBI's taxonomy places the organism in Eukaryota, Metazoa, Cnidaria, Anthozoa, Malacalcyonacea, Xeniidae.